AUGUUGAUGCCCAAGAAGAACUGGAUUGCCAUUUAUUAACUCCUUUUUAAGGUGGGAGUGAUAGUGGUCAAAAAAGAUGUCCAUAUGUCUAAGUACUCAGAGCUGGCUGACAAGAAUGUGCCCAACCUUUAUGUCAUAAAGGCCAUGCAGUUUUUCAAGUCUUGAGGUUACAUGAAGGAACAGUUUGUCUGAAAAUAUUUCUACUGGUACCUUACCCACAAGGGUAUUCAGUAUCUAUGUGAUUACCUCUACCUGCCCCCUAAGAUUGUGCCAGUCACCUUGCACUGCAGCUAUCCAAAGAGUGGCAGAACUCGGCCCAAAGGUCUGGAGGGUGAACAACCUGCAAGACUCACAAGAGGGGAAGCUGACAGAGACACCUACAGACGGAGUACUGUGCCCCCUGUUGCUGACAAGAAAGCCAAGACUGCGGCUGGGUCAGCAACUGAAUUCCAGUUUAGAGGCAGAUUUGGUCAUGGACGUGGUCAGUCACCUCAAUAAAAUUGGAGGGGAUUAUUUUGUGUGGAAUAAACUUGUAGCCAGAAAAACUU
RNA transcript from Carlito syrichta (Philippine tarsier), 548 nucleotides. It is a transcript of the gene named 40S ribosomal protein S10-like, with no coding region annotated. The record is from RefSeq and is a predicted model, not a curated record. The transcript has 2 exons. Lineage: Eukaryota; Metazoa; Chordata; Mammalia; Primates; Tarsiidae.